GGAAGUAAAAGUCGUAACAAGAUUUCCGUAGGUGAACCUGCGGAAGGAUCAUUCAUAAUAAGUGUUUUAUGGCACUUUUUUAAAUCCAUAUCCACCUUGUGUGCAAUGUCAGGGUUGGUCUCUUUUGAUCAGCCCCAAACAUCAACUAUUAUCUCAACUCUUUGUCUGAAAAAUAUUAUGAAUAAAACAAUUCAAAAUACAACUUUCAACAACGGAUCUCUUGGCUCUC
RNAcentral lists this unclassified non-coding RNA (229 nucleotides) under plant metagenome. RNAcentral describes it as "partial contains small subunit ribosomal RNA, internal transcribed spacer 1, and 5.8S ribosomal RNA". The stretch from base 1 to 54 matches the Rfam family "Eukaryotic small subunit ribosomal RNA", at positions 1778 to 1831 of the family's 1831-position model. The record is from RNAcentral.